Molecule: ribosomal RNA, 1191 nt
Filed under: Triticum aestivum (bread wheat)
Lineage: Eukaryota; Viridiplantae; Streptophyta; Magnoliopsida; Poales; Poaceae
Description: partial small subunit ribosomal RNA
Source: RNAcentral
AUGGCCCUGAUGAGGAUCCAAGCUAAGCAAAUACUCUUGAUAUGCUAUUGCAUGUUGGCCUUCUUGGAGAACAACACGAAGUGGAUGUUGGGCAACACGCCACUGUGGGCGAUCGUGAUGCCGUCAAGCAUCUUGGAGAGCUCCUCAUCAUUGCGAGUGGCGAGAAGCAGGUGGCGCGGCAUGAGGCGGGUCUUCUUGUUGUACUGGGCCACAUUGCCCGCCAACUCCAGCAUAUGUGGUUUAAAGAAUCUACGAGAUUGGUCGUUGGUUGGUUACGUCGGCGGCAAGGUAUUCGAGGACGGCGGCAAGGCCAAUGGGGCCGCUGGAGCCGACGCGGUCCACGUAGCGUCCCUUCUUGAGAUAGUGCCCGACGUGGCCGGCGGUAAACUAGAGUCCAGCCUUCGUGGAUCGGGUCACCGCCUUCUUCCGCUCGGCACUCUUCCUCUCGUCCAUCUCCCGUCCUUCUACGACGAACUUCAAUCUCUCGAAAUGAUCGGCUCGGCUGGUUCUAUCCAUGUCGCCGACGUCUUUGCCAUUGGAUCUGGAAGAUCCAUGUGGCUACGAUUAGCUCGGGGCAUGAUCCAAAUUCAAGCAUGUCAUGAAGCACUCAACAAGAAAAGGCAUCAUGUGAAGAAGAUCAAGAAGGACAAGGAAAUGUUUUGGGUAUUCAACCCGUGGACCGAGCAGACUGAAAAAAAACAACCACACACGGAGGACGGGCUCACCUCCUCUCCCUCUCGCCCACGAUGUCCUCGCCGCCGCCACCACCCAUGUCGUCCACUUCCGGUGAGCUCCGGCGCCACGCACCAUGCCCCUGAGCUCCCAACGGUCCUCUCCUCGCUCCCCUCUAGCCAGAUUCUCUGCUCCCGGCCUCUACCGGCCGCUCGCAACCCCAUCCCCAUGGCUAGGGUUUCAGGCAGGGCUUCGCCGGCGUCAAGGGCAUCUUCACGGAGAUGUGAAGGACGCCAUGGACCUGCAGCUCCUCAUGGUUUUAUCAUGUUCCUAUCUCAUCCGCUCCCUUUCCCGUCCCUUCCCCAUCUCGGUUCCUUCCCUUCUUGCGCAGGUCAGCGGGGAGGAACCCUAGCCGGCAGCACCUCCUCACCUUGGAUGACGCCUCUGCUGCGCCAAGAUAGGGCAAGCAACCCCAUCUGCUCUCAAUCUCUCCCAUUAGCACAAGUCCAGUUUUCUUGA